UGAUCCUGGCUCAGAACGUACGCUGGCGGCACGCCUAACACAUGCAAGUCGAACGAAGUAGCAAUACUUAGUGGCAGACGGGUGAGUAACAUGUAGGUAUCUGCCCUUUGGCCUGGAAUAACACGAGGAAACUUGUGCUAAUACCGGAUAAGUCUUUACGGAGAAAGCUUUAUGCACCAUUGGAUGAGCCUGCACUUGAUUAGUUUGUUGGUAGGGUAAUGGCCUACCAAGACUGUGAUCAAUAGCUGAUUUGAGAGGAUGAUCAGCCACAUUGGGACUGAGACACGGCCCAAACUCCUACGGGAGGCAGCAGUGGGGAAUCUUGCACAAUGGAGGAAACUCUGAUGCAGCGAUGCCGCGUGAGUGAAGAAGGCCUUUGGGUUGUAAAGCUCUUUCGUCGGGGAAGAAAAUGACUGUACCCGAAUAAGAAGGUCCGGCUAACUUCGUGCCAGCAGCCGCGGUAAUACGAAGGGACCUAGCGUAGUUCGGAAUUACUGGGCUUAAAGAGUUCGUAGGUGGUUGAAAAAGUUGGUGGUGAAAUCCCAGAGCUUAACUCUGGAACUGCCAUCAAAACUUUUCAGCUAGAGUUUGAUAGAGGAAAGCAGAAUUUCUAGUGUAGAGGUGAAAUUCGUAGAUAUUAGAAAGAAUACCAAUUGCGAAGGCAGCUUUCUGGAUCAUUACUGACACUGAGGAACGAAAGCAUGGGUAGCGAAGAGGAUUAGAUACCCUCGUAGUCCAUGCCGUAAACGAUGUGUGUUAGACGUUGGAAAUUUAUUUUCAGUGUCGCAGCGAAAGCGAUAAACACACCGCCUGGGGAGUACGACCGCAAGGUUAAAACUCAAAUGAAUUGACGGGGACCCGCACAAGUAGUGGAGCAUGUGGUUUAAUUCGAAGAUACGCGCAGAACCUUACCAACACUUGACAUGUUCGUCGCGACUCUAAGAGAUUAGAGUUUUCGGUUCGGCCGGACGAAACACAGGUGCUGCAUGGCUGUCGUCAGCUCGUGUCGUGAGAUGUUGGGUUAAGUCCCGCAACGAGCGCAACCCUCACUUUUAGUUGCCAUCAUUAAGUUGGGCACUCUGAAAGAACUGCCAGUGAUAAGCUGGAGGAAGGUGGGGAUGACGUCAAGUCCUCAUGGCCCUUACGUGUUGGGCUACACACGUGCUACAAUGGUAUCUACAACAGGAAGCAAGACUGCGAAGUUAAGCAAAUCCCUAAAAGAUACCUCAGUUCGGAUUGCACUCUGCAACUCGAGUGCAUGAAGCUGGAAUUACUAGUAAUCGUGGAUCAGCGUGCCACGGUGAAUGCGUUCCCGGGUCUUGUACACACCGCCCGUCACACCAUGGGAGUUGGUUCUACCUUAAGGCAAGGCUUUAAACCCUUGACCACGGUAUAGUCAGCGACUGGGGUGAAGUCGUAACAAGGUAACC
Molecule: ribosomal RNA, 1430 nt
Filed under: uncultured marine bacterium
Lineage: Bacteria
Description: bacterial SSU rRNA
Rfam family: Bacterial small subunit ribosomal RNA
Source: RNAcentral